AUCGUAGACGUACAUUGUACGUCCGUGUAAGUUCCGCUUGCUUAACCGAAUUUCCAUCGACAUCGCGAGCACGAAAGGAUGCAAAUCCAUUACCGGUGCAAUAUACGUCACUGAUUAUUUCUUGAUUUAUUGUGUUGAAGCAUGGUUGAAGUUAUGCAGAUUCAAGUACGAAGCAACUCAGUGAAAUCAUCUUAAGCAAGGCGGAUAAGGAAGAAGAGUAAGGCUCCAGAUGCCGUAGUUCGUGCGAAACUGCACUGAAAUGACUGAUCUACCCAACAUAGCAUCGCGAGUGAAAAGUUGUGCAUGUGAACUUAGAAAGUGGUUUGAAUUGCUACUUUGAAUGGCAUGAUGGUUGAGCUCUUCGUGUCAUUUUUCUCUAUCUAACAUAACUCGUAUUUUAUGCGGAAAAAUGUUAAAUGAAACGGGUUGGCAUAAACUACCACAAGUGACAUCCACUCUUUAAUGUAGUACACGUAAAUUAACAUACACUACUGCCGACAAACCGUCAGCUUUUUACAAUGACAAACCGCGCGAGGACUAGUACCACUUGGGGGGCCCAUCUUCCGACUGCCCGGUCCGUCAACGGUGCUAGUCAAAGCCUCCGUGAAAGCAGUAACGGGUGCUGCCGGGCGCCGUCUGGCUGGUUCCAAAUACUCAAGUUGGUCGCGCUCCUCGUCGUCUUAGGAGCCCUAGUGGCCCUGCAGUGUUUGCAGCUGGCGGCGCCUAUCGAAGUCGGCGCUUCAAUCUCCGUGGUGGUUGUCUCCAUAGCCGUCGCCUACCAGGUCUCCAAGCUGAAGCAGGCGUGGGAGGCACGGAGAACCAGAAAUGCAGAGGCCUCGGUCAGAGCCCAACCGAAUGCGUCUGCUGGCCAUCGAGAAAUCAACAGCGCCCACAUAAGCGGCAGGUCCCUGCGUAGCCCACCACCAUCUUUCCAAGAGGCUACACAAGGGUUCCCGACCACCCCACCUGUCACCGGUCUUCCCAACAGCCGGUCUUCCAGCACCGCCAACCCUUCAUGCCGCCGCCGGCUGUUGACCCAGCUCUUCUUACUCCUGAUUGCCGCGGUCUUUCUAGCUUUGCUCAUCGUCUCAAUUCUUGUACCCGACGUGCCGAUCUCAACGGGCAUUUCAUUCACCGUGGCUUUCAUCCUCGUAACCAUCGCUUCCCGCAUUCCAAAUAUUUGGCGGGCGCGGAAGGCACGGAGAACGAGGAGUGCACGGGCAGAGCGUGAGGUUGGAGUCUCGUCGACAGCUGUGCCCGAGGAAAUCAAUGGCGGGCGAUUAAACUGUGUUUUCGUCUACGACCCGCCGCCGUACACCGAGGCUACUGGCACGUCCCCACCCGCACUAACCAUCACCUGUCUUCCCAAGGACACACCCCAGGGAUAUCGCCUAACAGGGACGUCCAGACACCCGACCGUGGAGCCCGACGUCGCUGCCCCGCCGGCUGAGACACCGAUAGCAGCAAAUGAUCCCCCUCCGCCGUCUUACGAAGAAGCCAUUGCUAAUGGUGCUUCAUAACAUCCGUGGAAAAUUAUAGCAAACGGGUUUAUUUUGUUUUGGCUAAUCAUGGGGAAAGUCCUUAAUGAAGAAAGUCAAACUCAGUGAUGAUUUGCAUACUCGUCUCUACUGUACUCGAUACCAGAUCGUAAAAUGAGUCCACGUGAUUCUGUUAAUCGCUUCCUCGGUGUUAAAAGCACUUGAGCCUCGAUACGUACACACAGAAAAGAUGAAUGACAAAGUAUAUGCAAUUAUAUUUAUAAGAUUUUGUUUAUUUUUUGUUGGGAUGUUAAUUUUGAUUUAUAUUGACAGGUUUGUCACUUUUUUCACCACUGUGUAUUCAGUGUUUUCCUAUAGGACUUGUGAAACAUCAACAAAUUUACUGUGGUUCGACUCAAAACAACACCUUUUACCAAUAAACCGUUGAGCGUGCCAAGUUAAUUAUCUUAGUCAAUGAGCAGCAGAUACAGCGCCAAGUAACUAUGUAGAUAUACUAUGGGGCGAAAUCGUGCCACUCACUACUACACCAUGAUCUCAGAAGUCUUGCCAAAUAAGACGUCAGUUGAUUAAAAGUCACUAGCUUGUUCAAGUUAUCACCACGAAGUGCUUGAUGGAAAAUAGUCCCAUUGUCUACUGCGCAUGCUCAGCAAACACUGUUUUAGCACCGGACACUUUCUGACAUACCACCAAGCAGGGCGACCGCACGUCGAUUUCAGGGCAUUUAUUUUAAAAAUUGCUCCCUAUUUUACACCCAAAUAUCAUAGACUACGGUUUGGAAGGCAAUGUUUAAAAGAGAUUUGUUUGGCAAUAAAAGUCAAAGACAUGGCUUGUGCAAAGAUUCAGCGGAUGGAUAUUAAAGUCAUGUUGUUAUACGGCGACCUUAGAAUCACACAUGCCUGGGUCGGCUGAGGACCAGUCCUUCAGUGAUGGGUUUCCUCUUAGUGCGAUGCGUUGAAGAACGGUGCUUGUCCACUGAAGUGUGAUCUCGGCUCGGGGUGGAUCAGGACGGCACUUGUGAAAUGU
Molecule: unclassified non-coding RNA, 2522 nt
Filed under: Acanthaster planci (crown-of-thorns starfish)
Lineage: Eukaryota; Metazoa; Echinodermata; Asteroidea; Valvatida; Acanthasteridae
Description: uncharacterized LOC110973709, transcript variant X1
Source: RNAcentral